CCUACGAUGGAUAGGGGUUCUGAGAGGAAGGUCCCCCACAUUGGAACUGAGACACGGUCCAAACUCUACGGGAGGCAGCAGUGAGGAAUAUUGGUCAAUGGACGAGAGUCUGAACCAGCCAAGUAGCGUGAAGGAUGACUGCCUAUGGGCUGUAAACUUCUUUUGUACGGGAAUAAGUGAGCCACGUGUGGCUUUUUGUAUGUACCGUAUGAAUAAGGAUCGGCUAACUCCGUGCCAGCAGCCGCGGUAAUACGGAGGAUCCGAGCGUUAUCCGGAUUUAUUGGGUUUAAAGGGAGCGUAGGCGGGUUGUUAAGUCAGUUGUGAAAGUUUGCGGCUCAACCGUAAAAUUGCAGUUGAUACUGGCGACCUUGAGUGCAACAGAGGUAGGCGGAAU
This 394-nucleotide ribosomal RNA is filed under the name uncultured bacterium. Its description in RNAcentral is "bacterial SSU rRNA". It matches the Rfam family "Bacterial small subunit ribosomal RNA", at positions 273 to 667 of the family's 1533-position model. The record is from RNAcentral.